This 164-nucleotide ribosomal RNA is filed under the name Siparuna aff. cristata Vicentini et al. 1010. RNAcentral describes it as "5.8S ribosomal RNA". It matches the Rfam family "5.8S ribosomal RNA". From Rfam's summary of the family: 5.8S ribosomal RNA (5.8S rRNA) is a component of the large subunit of the eukaryotic ribosome. It is transcribed by RNA polymerase I as part of the 45S precursor that also contains 18S and 28S rRNA. Lineage: Eukaryota; Viridiplantae; Streptophyta; Magnoliopsida; Laurales; Siparunaceae. The record is from RNAcentral.
AAAUACGACUCUCGGCAGCGGAUAUCUCGGCUCUCGCAUCGAUGAAGGACGUAGCGAAAUGCGAUACUUGGUGUGAAUUGCAGAAUCCAGUGAACCAUCGAGUCUUCGAACGCAAGUUGCGCCCGAGGCCAUUGGGCCAAGGGCAUGCCUGCCUGGGCGUCUCG